Molecule: ribosomal RNA, 1018 nt
Filed under: uncultured bacterium
Lineage: Bacteria
Description: bacterial SSU rRNA
Rfam family: Bacterial small subunit ribosomal RNA
Source: RNAcentral
UGAGGAAUAUUGGUCAAUGGACGAGAGUCUGAACCAGCCACGUAGCGUGAAGGAUGAAGGUCCUACGGAUUGUAAACUUCUUUUAUAAGGGAAUAAAACCUCCCACGUGUGGGAGCUUGUAUGUACCUUAUGAAUAAGCAUCCGCUAACUCCGUGCCAGCAGCCGCGGUAAUACGGAGGAUGCGAGCGUUAUCCGGAUUUAUUGGGUUUAAAGGGAGCGCAGACGGGUCGUUAAGUCAGCUGUGAAAGUUUGGGGCUCAACCUUAAAGAUUGCAGUUGAUACUGGCGUCCUUGAGUGCGGUUGAGGUGUGCGGAAUUCGUGGUGUAGCGGUGAAAUGCUUAGAUAUCACGAAGAACUCCGAUUGCGAAGGCAGCACACUAAGCCGUAACUGACGUUCAUGCUCGAAAGUGUGGGUAUCAAACAGGAUUAGAUACCCUGGUAGUCCACACGGUAAACGAUGGAUACUCGCUGUUGGCGAUAUACGGUCAGCGGCUUAUCGAAAGCGUUAAGUAUCCCACCUGGGGAGUACGCCGGCAACGGUGAAACUCAAAGGAAUUGACGGGGGCCCGCACAAGCGGAGGAACAUGUGGUUUAAUUCGAUGAUACGCGAGGAACCUUACCCGGGCUUAAAUUGCAAAGGAAUGAUCUGGAAACAGGUCAGUCUUCGGACUUUUGUGAAGGUGCUGCAUGGUUGUCGUCAGCUCGUGCCGUGAGGUGUCGGCUUAAGUGCCAUAACGAGCGCAACCCUCGCCCCCAGUUACUCACCGUUAAAGCUGAGGACUCUGGCGGGACUGCCAUCGUAACAUGUGAGGAAGGUGGGGAGGACGUCAAAUCAGCACGGCCCUUACGUCCGGGGCUACACACGUGUUCCAAUGGGCGGUACAGAAGGCAGCUCCCUGGGGACAGGAUGCCAAUCCCGAAAGCCGCUCUCAGUUCGGACUGGAGUCUGCAACCCGACUCCACGAAGCUGGAUUCGCUAGUAAUCGCGCAUCAGCCACGGCGCGGUGAAUACGUUCCC